Molecule: long non-coding RNA, 227 nt
Filed under: Elaeis guineensis (African oil palm)
Lineage: Eukaryota; Viridiplantae; Streptophyta; Magnoliopsida; Arecales; Arecaceae
Description: long non-coding RNA (EGUI_LNC057534)
Source: RNAcentral
CCGUUGGAGGGGUCUGGUCGGUACUAUUGAAGUUCGGUUGGUGCUGUUGAAGAUUGAUGGCUAGAGAGGUACGGAAGACACCAGAGACAGUUGGUCAUUGUAGAAAUCCAGCUGCUGGAGCCCAUCCGUUGUAGAAGUUCAUCUGGAAUCCAUCCACUGUAGAAGUUUGGAUGGAGUCCGAUUCUUACAGAAGUCUGGAAGGAGGCCGCUUACUGCAGAAGCUCAGA